CUUUGUUAAGCUCUAACGUCUUUCUUUGAAGCUGGUGUCAUGUUCCCUGGAUUUAAACCGAAGAGAACCUCCUAGAGACUUCAGUAGGCUUUUUCAGAUGUAUUGACCAGAUGUCCUGGAAGUGGCCCCUGAUGCAGACCCAGUUGUUGGGUAGCCACCCAUGCACGUUGACACAGCCCCCAGCAGUGGGCACGCAUGGGGAUGGACCCAGGAGUGGAGGAUGACCCAAUAGGCUUUUCCUGCCAAGCUGCUGCGGUCACCCUAGCACCCUCUUGCGGCCCCGCAGGGGUCCCUGACCCCCACUUUGAAAACCACUGGUUUAGGCUAUGCAAGUGGUGGGUAGCCACCCAUGCACGUUGACACAGCCAGCAGCGAGUACCCAGAGCGAUGGACCCAGAAGUGGAGGAUAAUCCAAUAGGAGUGCUGGAUCGAUAGGGGGCCAAUCAUCUCUAAUUGAGACCCUUAUAAAGACUCUGGGCGGCUCCGACUCACUCUCUCUCUCUCUUGAAUCUGGCUUCUUCAGACCACAGCCCUGACGGCCACACUGAGAAUGCAGACGAUGGUGGUGGAAUUAAUAACCUGGAUCAGGAGUCCUCUGACAGCAGAUCUGAAUGGGCACCUGAUGGUGAAGACAUUACAUGUGAGGAAAAGACACAUACUAGAGGGAGUCGAGGACUUGGCUGUUCUACAAAAUGUCACUAAGGGAUGCAACUGACAGCUGAAGUAGGAUCUUUUUUGUUUUUUUGGCCAUGACAAUGCUUUGACAGUUGAUAAUAAACUGAUAAUUACGAUACUAUGUGCACACCAUUGUUUUUAUGGGUUUUUUUUAAAUAAUAAAAUGGAUGUAC
Engraulis encrasicolus (European anchovy) is the source of this 848-nucleotide long non-coding RNA. RefSeq lists it as uncharacterized. NCBI's taxonomy places the organism in Eukaryota, Metazoa, Chordata, Actinopteri, Clupeiformes, Engraulidae. The record is from RefSeq and is a predicted model, not a curated record. The transcript is spliced from 8 exons.